RNAcentral lists this ribosomal RNA (428 nucleotides) under uncultured bacterium. Its description in RNAcentral is "partial 16S ribosomal RNA". It matches the Rfam family "Bacterial small subunit ribosomal RNA", at positions 354 to 796 of the family's 1533-position model. The record is from RNAcentral.
GUGGGGAAUAUUGGGCAAUGGGCGAAAGCCUGACCCAGCAACGCCGCGUGAGGGAAGAAGGCCUUCGGGUUGUAAACCUCUGUCCUUGGUGACGAAAAAAAUGACGGUAGCCAAGGAGGAAGCCCCGGCUAACUACGUGCCAGCAGCCGCGGUAAUACGUAGGGGGCGAGCGUUGUCCGGAAUUACUGGGCGUAAAGGGUGCGUAGGUGGCCUUUUAAGUUGGAUGUGAAAUACCCGGGCUUAACUUGGGGGGUGCAUCUAAUACUGGAGGGCUAGAGUGCAGGAGAGGGAAGCGGAAUUCCUAGUGUAGCGGUGAAAUGCGUAGAUAUUAGGAGGAACACCAGUGGCGAAGGCGGCUUUCUGGACUGUAACUGACACUGAGGCACGAAAGCGUGGGGAGCAAACAGGAUUAGAAACCCCGGUAGUCC